AGUGAACGCUGGCGGUAGGCCUAACACAUGCAAGUCGAACGGCAGCACAGUAAGAGCUUGCUCUUACGGGUGGCGAGUGGCGGACGGGUGAGGAAUACAUCGGAAUCUACUUUUUCGUGGGGGAUAACGUAGGGAAACUUACGCUAAUACCGCAUACGACCUACGGGUGAAAGCAGGGGAUCUUCGGACCUUGCGCGAUUGAAUGAGCCGAUGUCGGAUUAGCUAGUUGGCGGGGUAAAGGCCCACCAAGGCGACGAUCCGUAGCUGGUCUGAGAGGCUGAUCAGCCACACUGGAACUGAGACACGGUCCAGACUCCUACGGGAGGCAGCAGUGGGGAAUAUUGGACAAUGGGCGCAAGCCUGAUCCAGCCAUACCGCGUGGGUGAAGAAGGCCUUCGGGUUGUAAAGCCCUUUUGUUGGGAAAGAAAAGCAGCAGGUUAAUACCCCACUGUUCUGACGGUACCCAAAGAAUAAGCACCGGCUAACUUCGUG
Molecule: ribosomal RNA, 492 nt
Filed under: uncultured bacterium
Lineage: Bacteria
Description: partial 16S ribosomal RNA
Rfam family: Bacterial small subunit ribosomal RNA
Source: RNAcentral